This 367-nucleotide long non-coding RNA is filed under the name Carica papaya (papaya). RNAcentral describes it as "long non-coding RNA (CPAP_LNC009755)". The record is from RNAcentral. Lineage: Eukaryota; Viridiplantae; Streptophyta; Magnoliopsida; Brassicales; Caricaceae.
UCCACGUGCCAACUAAUCCAACAGUCCAGAUUCACUCCUAUGUGCACGAACAACCCAAAUCCAUUUCUCCUUCAAGUGCGAUCGAACAGUCCACGUGCCUUCAAUCGAAAGGCUCUAAUUCGCUUCCCAAAUAAGCUGGAUCUGGUGGUGGAGAUUGGACCACGCAGCCCUGAAAGAACGACUCAGAUCGAAAGCGGAGAGGUAUUUAAACCUCUCUACCCAUACCCUCAAAACUUUAGCCGCCAAGGAGGACUAGAGAAGAAGAAAAAGGGCUGCCGAAAAGCGAACUAGUCACCAGAGAAGAAGACCAACCACCGUAGUCGUUGCACUAUUGACCAAAUCGAUGCCAAAAGGUGGGUUCUUUCUU